Molecule: non-coding RNA, 73 nt
Organism: Eublepharis macularius
Lineage: Eukaryota; Metazoa; Chordata; Lepidosauria; Squamata; Eublepharidae
Source: the annotation of a RefSeq genome assembly
GGGGUUGUGGCUCAGGAGUUAGAGCAUCUGUUUUGUAUGCAGAAGGUCCCAGGUUCAAUCCCUGGCAUCUCCA